Molecule: ribosomal RNA, 253 nt
Filed under: uncultured bacterium
Lineage: Bacteria
Description: partial 16S ribosomal RNA
Rfam family: Bacterial small subunit ribosomal RNA
Source: RNAcentral
UACGGAGGGUGCGAGCGUUGUCCGGAAUCAUUGGGCGUAAAGGGCGCGUAGGUGGCCUGCUAAGCGUGCGGUGAAAGUCGGGGGCUCAACCCCCGAUCGGCCGUGCGAACUGGGAGGCUUGAGCACUGUAGAGGCAGGCGGAAUUCCGGGUGUAGCGGUGGAAUGCGUAGAGAUCGGGAAGAACAUCGGCGGCGAAGGCGCUCUACUGGACCACAACUGACACUCAGGGACGAAAGCUAGGGGAGCGAAUGGG